This is an unclassified non-coding RNA of Pocillopora damicornis (cauliflower coral), 3063 nucleotides long. NCBI's taxonomy places the organism in Eukaryota, Metazoa, Cnidaria, Anthozoa, Scleractinia, Pocilloporidae. The record is from RefSeq and is a predicted model, not a curated record.
AUGGCGCAGGAAAACCUCUGAAAGGUUUGUUUACCGUUACUACGAUUCAAUCUAAGGACUCCUAUUUCUUCGUUUGUUUAUCACUGAUAAAAGAAAUGAAGCUGAAAACUCAAACAGUUAAUGCGGUGUUUUUAUUGGCAUGAUGGCGCAAUCUGGACAUGUCGAAAGUGAGAAUUACUACGACAGACCACCAGCAUCAAGAGACUGGUUACAUCACACAAAUCAGUCACUCACUAGACUUAAAGAUGUUAAAAAGACUUCAAUUUGGCUGAAUGGAGGACCACAUGAGAGAGAAGUAAAUUGCCAGUGUAGCUACAGGAGUAAAAGUAGAGACAGCUUCUUAAGUUUGGAAACUGGGCCUCCUCAGUUACACAUUGACAGCCAAGAGACAGCUAGCAUGAAAGACUUGUCUGUACCUGAAAUAAUGAAACAGUUCCAUGAAAGGCAGAAAUCCAAACUAAAAAGGAGGCCCCAGUCAUCUACUGUGUAUUCAUCCAGGAGUGCAGAGAAGAAGCAAGACUGGCAGAAACCCUCUGAAAACAACUACAGUGCAUUUAUUUCAGUAAAAGGGCAAACAGUGACACCUCAGCAUCGUCCACCUCUGGGGUCCUUGCCACUCAGGGAAACAAAGAAAGAUAAUACUUCUUACAAAGGAUUAGUGUAUCUUGAUCGUCAGCAAGAGGAGCUGGAUCGCAGCUUGGCACCGCAUGACCUUUGGCGAUACUCUGCGGCAUUCUGUGAAGAUGAAGAUUCUGAGAGUACCAAUCCCCCUCCACCACCUCCCAGAGCCUCUCCAGAACCAUCGUCACCAAAACUAAAUUGGCCUGAAGUUUUACAAUCAGCCGAAGAAGCUUACAGUGAGGAAGACGAUGAUGAUGAUUUGGUCGAUGAAUCUCAGGAGACAAGGUCGAUAUCUUCGGCUGGCUCGCGUUCUUUGGUGUUCGCAAUUCCAACAGGAGGUAAUGAAGGUACCGAAAGUGAUGAUGAACAGACUCCGAGUCUCUUAGACACUGGCAGAGGGUCUUCUGAUUAUGUUGCCAGGAGCGAGUCUAUGCUUCAUAAAAUAUGUGAUAAAAGUCAAGCAGAGAGUGCUGUAAUAUCUGAUAUGCUAGUCGACAUGAAAAGCACGAACGAAAAGAUCAGUCAGCUUCGAAUCAGCCCAAGAGAUUUAGAUCUGGAAUUAACCUGUGACGCCACAACCCCUUCAGUUCUUUUGGCAAAGAUGGAAAUAGAAUGCACCGCUGGCACUGAUCAAGAAUCAACGCCACAACAUGAAAUCGAAUACGAAACCAUGUGGGUUGAAGAGCCUCAGGUCUCGAACAGGUUGAAUGCUCUUUCCAACCGAUUUCCCCGAGCCUGUUCAGCAAGAUAUAUGACUCAGCAGAAAACUUCGCGUGUUAGAAAACAACAAAGCGAAAGUUCUCUUGCACUGAAAGGAAAAACAAUGGAAUUCUUCAAUCCGGAGGACUUAGUGGCGAAAAACCUUUCAAGAGACCAACGAAAAAAUCCAAGACAUAAUGACUUUACUGGGGAAGAACAUGAAAUGCUUGAAAUGAGAGAAGACACCGAUCCAGACAAGGUUGUUACAAAACCGCCGUUACCAAAAUGGAAUACCUCAAAAACCAAGAAAAGACAUAAAUUGAAACAGAAACGACAGUCUGGCACUGAAAAUUCAAGUGACAGCAGUAUCCUGGAUCAACCAUCAAAGUCUUCUCUACGAAAGUCAAGCUCUGAAGGCAAUAUCCAUUUGUAUCAGGCAGCAGAUACCAAUUUGUCACCGGGCAGCAAUCUGAAACUCAAAUCUGUAACGUUUAGACGAGAUGUUUUGAGUCAAGUUGAUGACGUUAAAAUUCCCCUCGACUCUUCUCAACUCCCCACUUACUCCAGUGUUGAGGCGGAAAUUGUCGCCAAACCUGCUGUACAAACUUGUGCUUGGUCUCAAAGUUCAGGAGUUGUUAUAAACAAUGGUUUGGAAAUGAAGGAGGCUAACCUACAGGAACAAGAAAUCUCAGCAGUAGAGAUUACCGACAAAGAAUCAAGACUCAGUCAUACUCGAAAAACAGCUCAAAGUUCACGAGCAAAACUUUUGGCCAAAAUGAAAGAACUGCCAGGUGAUGAGGAACUAUGUCCGUGCAGAACAGUUACCAGACCCACUACGGCUUUGAUAACAGAGUUAAGGAACUCGAAAUCUAGAACAAAAGAGACAUCCUUGAAGAAUGAUAAAUUAUUAAAACAUCGUGUUACUAGGCCCAGCUCCGCGCCGCUCAAACGCUCGUCAGGCAACGGAGAUAUAUUGAGACUAGAAAAACCUCACUCACCAGGUAGCAAACCUCGUGCCAUGUCUGCUAAAGGACAGCGAAAAAGGACCGGAUCUGAAGGAGGACAAACCCGCUCCAGGCCUUCUUCAGCCCAUGUUGGCAAGUUAAGCUCCAAAGAUGCUCGUAGGAGCCGUGCCGCUGCUAAAGUUCUCAAAGACGGAUUCUUGUUCAAGGAAAAACCCCCGCCACCAUUACCAGCAGCUUCAAAGGAAAGUCAAAAACGGAGAGAAGAGCAUGGAAGAUCGAAACAAGACAACAACAACAAGAGUCUCACACUGCCGUGGAAUAAGGAAGAAGAAAUUGUAGCCUCGGAAGAAUGCCAUGAGGUCUUCGCGCGCCUGCAGGAGAAAGGAAUUGAUGUUUCCAUGGAUACCAUCAAAAGGUAAAUUAACAUCAGUUUAGCGUAAUUUGAACCUAAUUGACCGCUGACGUCAUUUUCAGUUUUUGACCUGAUCGUAGAUUUUGCUCUUAAUCGAUUAAGAUCAAAUCUCUUCCCCUCAUUUGCAGAACGAUGAUUUUUUUUUUAGAAAAAACUGUUUGCUUCGUAGUUUGGAAGACAUUCCACCCAAGUUUUACUCUGCGUGACUAAACUACAAGUGAGACACAGAAAGAAAACCCAUAGGAUUGAUGGCGCCGGCGAGAAGGGCUGGUGACUACCAAGUGACCGGUUUGAGUUUGAGCUCUAAUCUCCUUAGCAGACCAGAAAAUUGGCUGACAGAAGAACACGCUCGUGUGCAGAUAUGGG